CAACGUGGGUAACCUGCCCAAUAGAUCGGGAUAACACCUGGAAACAGGUGCUAAUACCGCAUAGGAAGUUUGUUCGCAUGAACAAACUUAGAAAGAUGGCUCUGCUAUCACUUAUCGAUGGCCUUGCGGUGCAUUAACUAGUUGGCGAGGUAACGGCUCACCAAGGUGAUGAUGCAUAGCCGACCUGAGAGGGUAAUCGGCCACAUUGGGACUGAGACACGGCCCAAACUCCUACGGGAGGCAGCAGAU
Molecule: ribosomal RNA, 249 nt
Filed under: uncultured Aerococcus sp.
Lineage: Bacteria; Bacillati; Bacillota; Bacilli; Lactobacillales; Aerococcaceae
Description: partial 16S ribosomal RNA
Rfam family: Bacterial small subunit ribosomal RNA
Source: RNAcentral